UACAGAGGGGGCAAGCGUUGUUCGGAAUUACUGGGCGUAAAGGGCGCGUAGGCGGCCCGCUAAGUCGAACGUGAAAUCCCCGAGCUCAACUCGGGAACUGCGUCCGAUACUGGUGGGCUUGAAUCCGGGAGAGGGAUGCGGAAUUCCAGGUGUAGCGGUGAAAUGCGUAGAUAUCUGGAGGAACACCGGUGGCGAAGGCGGCAUCCUGGACCAAUUCUGACACUGAGGAGCGAAAGCCAGGGGAGCAAACGGG
This 253-nucleotide ribosomal RNA is filed under the name uncultured bacterium. RNAcentral describes it as "partial 16S ribosomal RNA". It matches the Rfam family "Bacterial small subunit ribosomal RNA", at positions 524 to 776 of the family's 1533-position model. The record is from RNAcentral.